GGUUGCCAUGGCGCAGCGCGCUCCCUCUGCUGCGGCCGGACGCCGGCUGUACCUGCUGUUCCGCAUCGGCGGCGACCGC
Molecule: transfer RNA, 79 nt
Filed under: Achromobacter aegrifaciens
Lineage: Bacteria; Pseudomonadati; Pseudomonadota; Betaproteobacteria; Burkholderiales; Alcaligenaceae
Description: tRNA-Arg
Source: RNAcentral